GGCAACCACGACCAGGAGUUUGUAGCCUGUCUGGCUCACUGUUUCAUCAACCUGCACGUUGGGAGUAGUGUGGAGGGUUUUGGUUUGGAGGCAGAGGCUCGUAUGACAACCUGGCACGUCAUGAUGCCCGCUGAGAAUGGACCUGAUAACAGACACAGCCAGGAAGUUAGCGAAGGUCGCCAGCUACUGCUGAAGGCAGUAAACCAUGUGUUGC
Salvelinus sp. IW2-2015 is the source of this 214-nucleotide long non-coding RNA. RefSeq lists it as uncharacterized. The record is from RefSeq and is a predicted model, not a curated record. NCBI's taxonomy places the organism in Eukaryota, Metazoa, Chordata, Actinopteri, Salmoniformes, Salmonidae.